This is a non-coding RNA of Pelobates cultripes (western spadefoot toad), 333 nucleotides long. NCBI's taxonomy places the organism in Eukaryota, Metazoa, Chordata, Amphibia, Anura, Pelobatidae. The record is from the annotation of a GenBank genome assembly.
CCACACAAUGCUAGAGUUAUGUCUCAGGUUGUAUGCCUAUUGUGAUUUUUACAUCUCGGCAGCUCAGCAUUUUGCCGAAAAACAGACAAAAGGUACAAUUCAUUCAAUGAACCAACUUGAAAUGGCCUGAUGUGCCACAAACAUCUGUGUGUGUCUCAGGGACGUUAUCAAACAAUAAUCCUGUUUGUAUAUUUAUUGUGAGAAGAGAAAAUGCAUCUUUUAGGAUUUCUUACUAUGCCAGCUAAGGUGCCAGCUGAGGUUAAGAGCAGAUGUCCUUAUGGAAAUAUAAUGAGGGUGAGGUUGGCUCAUUAUACUAAUUGAUGUAGUUAUUUG